Molecule: non-coding RNA, 1431 nt
Organism: Poecilia reticulata (guppy)
Lineage: Eukaryota; Metazoa; Chordata; Actinopteri; Cyprinodontiformes; Poeciliidae
Source: RefSeq, a predicted model, not a curated record
UGCUCUAUUGGCUUAGCAAAAAAGAAAAAUCUUCAAGGAGGAGCAUUAAAAAAAACAUGUUUACUAAUCAGAUGGUGGCCAACCUGAAAGAAUCUUUCCUCCUUGCUCUCCUCAUCACCUGUGGAUGCUGCUGCUUCCUGCCUGAGGUCCUCGGCUGGUCAGUGCAUYACCUCCAACACMGAGAAGAGCAGCGGUACCAACAGAACCCACCUGUCCAUCAGAUGGUUCCCAGAACCAGAAGACGAUGGUGGAGCUGCAGCUUUCUAGAGUUUGAGGGCAGGACUAGUAUCUAGGAUAAAAAAAAUCAUAUUUCUCCUUUAGUAUUCAUUAUAUAAAUCCAUUAAUUGUGCUUUAGUUGUUUUGUGUCGCAGAAUAAAGUCCAAUCCUUUCUGGGUGUGGCAGGAAGUGAGACUGUGGACCAGUUUACAGCGGAAACGCCUCUGAAGCCUGGCUGUCGGGUUUCCUAUCUAGCUGCUCCGCCUCUACAUCUGGACACGCAGAAACGGAUCUGACGUUGAUAGGUCUAGACUGAACUGGGGACCUGGUGGUUUGGACCCAGCGCCCCGGAGGCCUGGGGCCCCGUCUGUUUCUACUUGAAUGACAUGAAGACGACAUGAAUGAUGUGAACAUCUGUAAAAGCCUCAGGACGUUUCCGGACAGGGACAGUGUCUGCUCCAGUGGGAUAAGAGAAGAAUCCAAACAACAUAUUUACAUAAAUGAGGGAAAAGUCAUCAAGAAUGAGAAAUAAAUGCACAAAUAUCUUUCCAGGUAAUAUAUGAGAAAUAGCACGACCAGAAUAAGUGGCAGAUCUUCUUCAUAGAGUUUUCAGAAUGAACAAUUUGUGUCUUUUUUGUAUUGUUGAAGGAAAAACUUGCAGGGAUAAAAACGAUGGAUUAUCUUAAAAGACACUUCUUUGAUCUCAUUAAUAAUUAAAUAUUUAGAUGGAAGACACCAGAUUUUCCCAGGGCAGGUUGGGGGCAAAGUUCUUCCAAUAAGAGAUAAAACAUUAGGAACAGAGACGAUGUCCUUCUGGAAUAAGGCUGGAACAUCACGGUUGUUCAGAUUUGAUCAACAUUAGUGACAGCAGCGUCUGGACCUGGUGGAGUCGGAACAGAAGUUACAGAAGAUUUUAGAGACCAGGAAAGAAGCAUUUGUUUGUGGAAAUUAGAUCGUUUUAUGGGAAGUUUCUCAAUUUUGUAGUUGCAAAGGAGAAUAAAUUUAAGGCCACCAAGUUCAGAGAAUAAAAAGUUGGGUAUAAAAUUCCAGAUUGAGGAUGGAUUUUUAAGAAACUGUUUAAUCCAGUUUAUUUUCAAUGUAUUAUUUCAGGUACAAUCAAGAAAAUUGAUGCCACCAAGUUCAAAUGAGUUCAUCAAGACGGACUUCCUGAUAUAAUGAAUCCUAUUUUUCCAUAUAAACCUAUAAAGCAUUUUA